This 253-nucleotide ribosomal RNA is filed under the name uncultured bacterium. Its description in RNAcentral is "partial 16S ribosomal RNA". It matches the Rfam family "Bacterial small subunit ribosomal RNA", at positions 524 to 776 of the family's 1533-position model. The record is from RNAcentral.
UACGAAGGGGGCUAGCGUUGUUCGGAUUCAUUGGGCGUAAAGGGUGCGUAGGCGGCGCGGUAAGUCGGGUGUGAAAUCUUGGAGCUUAACUCCGAAACUGCAUUCGAUACUGCCGUGCUUGAGGACUGGAGAGGAGACUGGAAUUUACGGUGUAGCGGUGAAAUGCGUAGAUAUCGUAAGGAAGACCAGUGGCGAAGGCGGGUCUCUGGACAGUUCCUGACGCUGAGGCACGAAGGCCAGGGGAGCAAACGGG